Molecule: ribosomal RNA, 278 nt
Filed under: Pseudomonas sp. January_NA3B7
Lineage: Bacteria; Pseudomonadati; Pseudomonadota; Gammaproteobacteria; Pseudomonadales; Pseudomonadaceae
Description: partial 16S ribosomal RNA
Rfam family: Bacterial small subunit ribosomal RNA
Source: RNAcentral
AGCGCAACCCUUGUCCUUAGUUACCAGCACGUAAUGGUGGGCACUCUAAGGAGACUGCCGGUGACAAACCGGAGGAAGGUGGGGAUGACGUCAAGUCAUCAUGGCCCUUACGGCCUGGGCUACACACGUGCUACAAUGGUCGGUACAGAGGGUUGCCAAGCCGCGAGGUGGAGCUAAUCCCAGAAAACCGAUCGUAGUCCGGAUCGCAGUCUGCAACUCGACUGCGUGAAGUCGGAAUCGCUAGUAAUCGCGAAUCAGAAUGUCGCGGUGAAUACGUU